UACGAAGGGUGCAAGCGUUACUCGGAAUUACUGGGCGUAAAGGGUGCGUAGGUGGUCGUUUAAGUCCGUUGUGAAAUCCCUGGGCUCAACCUGGGAAUGGCAGUGGAUACUGGACGGCUAGAAGUGCGGGUAGAGGGUAGUGGAAUUCCCGGUGUAGCAGUGAAAUGGACGUAGAGAUCGGGGAGGAACACCAGUGGCGAAGGCGGCUACCUGGACCAGCAUUGACACGUCAAGCACGAAAGCGUGGGGACGCAAACAGG
Molecule: ribosomal RNA, 260 nt
Filed under: uncultured bacterium
Lineage: Bacteria
Description: partial 16S ribosomal RNA
Rfam family: Bacterial small subunit ribosomal RNA
Source: RNAcentral